This 484-nucleotide ribosomal RNA is filed under the name uncultured bacterium. Its description in RNAcentral is "partial 16S ribosomal RNA". It matches the Rfam family "Bacterial small subunit ribosomal RNA", at positions 30 to 507 of the family's 1533-position model. The record is from RNAcentral.
AUUGAACGCUGGCGGCAGGCCUAACACAUGCAAGUCGAGCGGAUGAAGGGAGCUUGCUCCUGGAUUCAGCGGCGGACGGGUGAGUAAUGCCUAGGAAUCUGCCUGGUAGUGGGGGAUAACGUCCGGAAACGGGCGCUAAUACCGCAUACGUCCUGAUGGAGAAAGUGGGGGUUCUUCGGACCUCACGCUAUCAGAUGAGCCUAGGUCGGAUUAGCUAGUUGGUGGGGUAAAGGCCUACCAAGGCGACGAUCCGUAACUGGUCUGAGAGGAUGAUCAGUCACACUGGAACUGAGACACGGUCCAGACUCCUACGGGAGGCAGCAGUGGGGAAUAUUGGACAAUGGGCGAAAGCCUGAUCCAGCAAUGCCGCGUGUGUGAAGAAGGUCUUCGGAUUGUAAAGCACUUUAAGUUGGGAGGAAGGGCAGUAAGUUAAUACCUUGAUGUUUUGACGUUACCAACAGAAUAAGCACCGGCUAACUUCGUG